GGGUUGCCACCAGUGGAACUCGACAUUGGCCACGCAAGAGUUACCCAGGAGGCGAAUAUACAGCGGUUGCGAAGUGGUAGCCGUGAACUUGCACGAUGUGUAACACUUUUCCUUCCAGAGUCGCGUUGCCCUACGAGGAUUAGUUCGCAAACGGCGAACGCAAUGUGUCUUGCAUCUUGCAUAUUUACGUCACGCUUCGAGGAGUGCGGCCAACCUGGCGCCAAGCUUUACCUACUCUGCUAUGGAGUCCGCAAAGAAGAUCGUGGAUAAGCCUGGUACUCUGGAAGAUCGGUGCAAGGUGACGCGAUAAUGCGUUUCGUGAUAUGCAGUCGGUAAAACCGGACGGUGCAGGUAAUUUAUGGUACACAGUGAAGAGAGUUGAAGAAGAAGAAGAAGAAGAAGAAGAAGAAGAAGAAGAAGAAGAAAAGGAUUCUGAUAGCCGUGUUAUUUUUAUAAUCGCCAAGAACUGUACUUACGUACACGCUGUCUUGUCUUUUCGUUGCAAUUUUCACAUUACCGCCAUCUACAUGCAGUUUAGUGUAUUUCUUACAGGAUUUAACGUACCUUAAUGUCCCGACCGUUGAGUCGUAACGACUUGGCAUUUCAUUUGACGAUUCUGACUAGUGACAAAUCAUUCCUGCAGGAAAGAAGAGGCAAACCUAUAAAAAUCAAGAAUAAAUUGUUACCGUACGAUGGACGCGCCAUUUAUGAAAACGGAAAGUGACACUUUACUACCGUGUCUUUCUGAUUUAUACGUCUUAAAUGACACUAAUGAAUCUUUCUAAGUGCUACCGGUUCUGAAAGUGUUCGGUAUUCUCUGAAAUAUCAAAAGUACAAAUAUUAUUCAUAUAUGCAUCUGUAAGAAGACUCAAUUUGUUAUCCAAAGUACUCUGUCCAAGUUGUAUAUGAGAAUAACUCAUAAUCCUAUAUGAGUUAUUCACUGGCGAGUACUUUAUCAUAUGUGGAAUAGCAGUGUGAAUGUAGCAACACGUAAGGCAGUACUGUUUUCUGUCUACGAGUCGAUUCCACUUCGCUACCAUACCGCGAAGUGGAUCGGAUUACGUGGCGCCUUGAAGAUCCACGUGCAGUCCAGGGUGUACAACCUGCGGAGCUAAGAAAAUACUUCUUCAUACUGGAUUCUCAUAUGAAUUUGAAGCACGUGUGACACACGUGUUCUUGACUUUGUUUCUUUUAUAGAGACAGUAAGAACAUCACUUUUUAUUUAAAUACAAAUUCCUUAUACACAAUUUAGAUAUUUUAGAUGCUGGCAUUUCUAAUGAAUCUUGCUGCUAAUGAAUUUCAUAAUGGUGAAUCUCCAGCGACCAGUUCGCAGAUUUGUUUUGCCGGUGUUAAUUCAGUGCCCUGCACGCGAUACACGUGUACCUUUACUAAGAAGAAGAAGAAGAAGAGGAAGAAGAAGUGAAUGGAAAAUGUUGUAAAUCUCUAAGGAUCUUUUCUAUUGCUUGUAGAAGGAAAAAAAAAAAGGCGAUGGUACUGGCACGAAUCUACUGAUGGGAUGGGACUGGUUGGGAUCUGGAUAGACGGUGGACCAACUUCUUGGAGUCACACUUGAUCCUUUAAGCGUGACAAAAAGUUGAACGUUACGGCACGCUGACGGGGGACCUUUCGUCAGGGUCUUCGCCUGAUGCAUUAUGCAGAGUUUCUCCUGGUGUGAAACCUCGUUUGGCAUUGUUCAUCUGGUGGAAUGAUGCUGCAGCCAUUUUCUGUUAUCCACACUUUGGAUAACCCAGGAUCUCGCAUGGCAUUCGAAGCAUUGCUGCACGUGUCGCUCUUCCAUGAUGACGUAAAAAAUAUUAGUAGAUCUUAUAGUGCAUACCGGAGUAACUUUAACAGGAAGCCUGUUAAAAAGGGCCGAUCCAAUUUUUUUUUUCAACCUCCCAUCCGUCUUUCGUCCACGUGUCGAACUUCCUGCCCUCGAGAUUCCGUUGCCCGAGGAAAUUACGUGCGAUGAGUGGCUAUGGACGAAAGUGUCUGGAAAAGAAGGGGAAAGUAUCAGGACUGUUGAUAUUGGUCAGAAGCAGUAUGCCAUUGCUGAGUUAAGGAUUCUAUGACUUUUGUAACGCACUGUACGUACCCGUGGGGUCCACCGUAUUAAUAUGGGCAACGCGUGCGGAUGCUUUUACCCAUUUUUAUGCAUUCUUUGGGCGGCUCACACAUCCGUUAGGAUAAUAAUUUCAGCUGGACAUAAUGACAUUCCAAGCGUGCUGACAAUGGCCCAUCCAGAGCAUUAACGGUCUCGGUACUGGUAUGGAGUAGUAACACAAGAAGAAGAUAGCUAAAGGAUAACUUAUGUGGAUAUAGGAUAUACGUAUACGAAUAGUGCUUAUAAUAAAAGGAUACUCUAGUAUAUAUAGACGUAAGGCCCAAUUUAGUAAAAUCUUCACAUGCCCCCUUCAUCUGCUCGAAUCCGAAGCAUUGGGGCAGGUGAAUCUUUUGGUUUUUUCUAUCUUGAAGAUAUUAACUGUAAACAAAGGGAGUGGGCCUCUUUCGCAAGACCCAUCAAUGGAGGAGAGAUGGGCCUUAUUAUCUUGCGAGCACACGCGCUACUCUUUUGGAAUUUAUAAAUUACUCGCGCUCAGGGGCUCAGGCCUAGAACAGUCAGGGGCAUCGGACUACGUAGACUAUACAUAUAUAUAUACUAGAGAGAGAGAGAGAGAGAGAGAGGGAUGCUGCGUGGUACAUUAUUCCAGAGAUCCUUCAUGAAGAUCCACGUCAAAAAUCUCUGAGCCAUUAACAUAUCUCGUGUCAGAAAUCGAAGAACCGAGUCGGAUGGGGAAUUCGACUUGCUUGAAGAUUCUUCUUGUUUCACAGCAUCUCAAAAGAUACCUGGGGAUAAGUAAGUUCACGAGAUAUUAGAAUACACGAAGAUAUGGGUGGUUUAUAAUUUUAGUAAUUAUUUAAAUCAGAUUCAAAUUUAUUGGAUUUGCAUAUCUAAUCUGGUUAAAUUGUUUAAAGAGCUCCUGUAUUUCUGUCAUAAGAUUAUACCUGGUAGGUGAGACUGUCUCAUGAGUCCCUUAGUAUAAUUUUGGGACUUAUGCAGAAAAGAGGAUUGAGCCAGAAGUCUGGUUAUAAUUCUUACGUAUGAAAAUGAAUUAUCGUUCCUGUUUGUUAUAUAUGUAUAUAGCUACUGUGUAUAAGUAAUGGAGUCUUAAGUCAGGGCCCUAGGGCCCACAAUAUCGACGCUCCUGAUCCGUCACGGCUAAUUGACAGCAUUUUGUGUUCGCGCGAACGUGACAUUGCUACGCGGGACUUCUCGCACUCAUUGCGUCAUUACGGAUAACACGUGUUCGUCUUAGUGCUGUUGGGUGUUAACUUCUUUGGGUCCGACGAUAGGAAGAGAUUGGGGCCCCGGUGCUCCUGGUUGGAGCGUAAAUGGCGGCAGCAAAGCAUCACGGUAGCAGCACGCAGUAACGCCGACCGAAUACCAACGAUUUAUAUAACGAUUUGAGGCCCUAAGCUCCUGGGUCCUACGUACGUCGCAAGGCCCCUUUGAUGCGCUCCUGAUGUGGUAUAAAUAGAACCUGCUUCUUCGCGGCUCGUCCACUCGACAACGACAGCUAACCUAACCUUACCAACUUCACCUACCUGUACCUACCUACCGACCAACCAAUGUACCAACCUUUUACCAACCAACCAUCACGACCUCUUCUCCUGGGACUUCUUGCGCCGUAACCUGUUAUUUCAGGAUUGCGAAUCGGCCGCGGUUUUUUACCAGUGCCAGCUCCUGCCACUAUAAAUAUCGAACUCACUCGACUGUCCAGGACGACGAUGAACCCCUUUCGCAUCCUUUCCAAGAAACUUCGAGGCGCCUCUUCACAGCAUCUGUCGCGCGCCACUGUGUCUCCCUCACAAUUAGACAAGAUUGCCAGGGCGAUCCUUCUGGGACCGAUAAAAAGCUCAGGGUGCCAGUCACUCGGACGAUUGGGACUCGCCUCUUGAAUUUAUUGGGCUUUCAGUUUCGACAGGAAGUUCACUUUAGACAUGGACGAUCUUCUUUUUUUAGGCCCUGAUGAACUUUAGUCUUAUUCGGUGUAUAUACCUGGCCGGUACCUUCUUCAAGGAUCCAUUCACCGUUACAUUGUAUCCUGGGUCACGAGCUCCUUCUUCUAUAUCUUCGCACGGGGUUCAUCAGUUUCAUCACGAGGUGAAUAAAACGGAUUUCGUUCCAGUUCCAAUGAUCCAAAUCCGUUUACCUAGUUUCAAGAAAAUAAUGGUGUGAGCUGGCACAACAGACACCGCCACUUGCUAGUAUAUAUAUAUAUAUAUAUAUAU
This is a long non-coding RNA of Cephus cinctus (wheat stem sawfly), 4293 nucleotides long. RefSeq lists it as uncharacterized. The record is from RefSeq and is a predicted model, not a curated record. The transcript is spliced from 10 exons. NCBI's taxonomy places the organism in Eukaryota, Metazoa, Arthropoda, Insecta, Hymenoptera, Cephidae.